RNAcentral lists this transfer RNA (66 nucleotides) under Greenidea psidii. RNAcentral describes it as "tRNA-Ala". Lineage: Eukaryota; Metazoa; Arthropoda; Insecta; Hemiptera; Aphididae. The record is from RNAcentral.
AGGAUAAUAGUUAAAAAAAAUAACAUUUAAUUUGCUAUUAAAAAUUAUUAAAAAAAAUUUAUCUUA